UGAUGCAGCCAUGCCGCGUGUGUGAAGAAGGCCUUCGGGUUGUAAAGCACUUUCAGUAGGGAGAAGGUAGUGUAGUUAACACCUGCACUAUUUGACGUUACCUACAGAAGAAGCACCGGCUAACUCCGUGCCAGCAGCCGCGGUAAUACGGAGGGUGCGAGCGUUAAUCGGAAUUACUGGGCGUAAAGCGCAUGCAGGCGGCCUGUUAAGUCAGAUGUGAAAGCCCGGGGCUUAACCUCGGAAUUGCAUUUGAAACUGGCAGGCUAGAGUCUUGUAGAGGGGGUAGAAUUUCAGGUGUAGCGGUGAAAUGCGUAGAGAUCUGAAGGAAUACCAGUGGCGAAGGCGGCCCCCUGGACAAAGACUGACGCUCAGAUGCGAAAGCGUGGGGAGCAAACAGGAUUAGAUACCCUGGUAG
RNAcentral lists this ribosomal RNA (415 nucleotides) under uncultured bacterium. Its description in RNAcentral is "bacterial SSU rRNA". It matches the Rfam family "Bacterial small subunit ribosomal RNA", at positions 384 to 793 of the family's 1533-position model. The record is from RNAcentral.